Molecule: transfer RNA, 73 nt
Filed under: Stegodyphus mimosarum
Lineage: Eukaryota; Metazoa; Arthropoda; Arachnida; Araneae; Eresidae
Rfam family: tRNA
About the family: Transfer RNA (tRNA) molecules are approximately 80 nucleotides in length. Their secondary structure includes four short double-helical elements and three loops (D, anti-codon, and T loops). Further hydrogen bonds mediate the characteristic L-shaped molecular structure. tRNAs have two regions of fundamental functional importance: the anti-codon, which is responsible for specific mRNA codon recognition, and the 3' end, to which the tRNAs corresponding amino acid is attached (by aminoacyl-tRNA synthetases). tRNAs cope with the degeneracy of the genetic code in two manners: having more than one tRNA (with a specific anti-codon) for a particular amino acid; and 'wobble' base-pairing, i.e. permitting non-standard base-pairing at the 3rd anti-codon position.
Source: Rfam by way of RNAcentral
GCCUUUGUGGUGUAAUGGUCAGCACACUGAGCCGGUAUUUCAGAGGUCCGCGGUUCGAUUCCCGGCGAAGGCG